CUGUCCGCCCGCAAGCGGGCAUGGCUUUCGCUAGAGGCCCUCCCACCACACGCCCCAACGCACGGAGCUAGCCGCCCCUGCAGAAGGCGCCGCAGAUCCGGCGACGGCCAACGCCCCGACCAAGGCAAGUACAGGCAAGCCACGCAACCACCACAGCGGGCCAGCCGCACGCGUGUGUGCCGACGCCGCAGACCAGCUACGGCCACGCGAGCGCGCGGGCACCGCCGCUGCCACCACGGCCACAGCAGCCGCAAGGCCACCCGCCCAAGCCAGCAACAGGGAGGAGCGGCGGAAGGCGACCAGCCCCCCAGAUCCGGGCAGCCAGCCCGCGAAUCCGACCAACCCAACGCGGAUCAGGACGCCGACCACCUUAUCGUAGACGCAGACGAGUGGAGGUCCCGCCACCGCCAAUCCGGCCGACCGCGCAGCCCACCAACGCACCACGCCGAACACCACCCCGACACAUGCCCGAGACCAGCCUGCUGGCGCCUCCGAAGGCUGGCACGCGGAGGUCGCGAACCCCACGCGCACCAGAUUCCAGACCUCCACGCGCGGCGCCGCUCCCUACCCUUGGGCGCCAGACAACACCUUCUCCGCGCGUGCGACCCACGGCCGGCCGCAUGCCCCCCUGCUGCGCGGACACCCAGCCAGGACCCGCAACGCCCGGAUGUGCCAAACGAACGCCGCGCUCACUGCCGCCAUGAUGCCGCCGAGGCUGAGCCGCGCCGGCGAAGGGUCGCCGCCCCACACACGCCGUUGCCACCUCCUAGAACCCGACUAGAUCCGGGCAGACGCGACCAAAGCAGAGAAAAAUCGCCGCGUCGCCACCUUCCUUGGGGCCGCGCGGACAUCCGGCGGCGCCCUCUGGUGACGGCGAGGUGGGAUGGAGUGGAGGGAGGGGGCGGCGGCGCUAGGGUUUCGGCCGCCCGUGUCGCCCAGCAGAAGGCGACCGAGCGGCUUUGGUUCUGUCAUGUUAGCAUGCUUUGUUCUACACGUUUAAGGAAGAAAAAAAAACCGAUGAAUGGAACAUCAAAUCCCUAUGGAUAG
This 1047-nucleotide unclassified non-coding RNA is filed under the name Zea mays. RNAcentral's name for it is "misc RNA Zm00001eb107680". The record is from RNAcentral. Lineage: Eukaryota; Viridiplantae; Streptophyta; Magnoliopsida; Poales; Poaceae.